This 71-nucleotide transfer RNA is filed under the name Marmota monax (woodchuck). RNAcentral describes it as "tRNA.Val". The stretch from base 6 to 66 matches the Rfam family "tRNA", at positions 6 to 65 of the family's 71-position model. From Rfam's summary of the family: Transfer RNA (tRNA) molecules are approximately 80 nucleotides in length. Their secondary structure includes four short double-helical elements and three loops (D, anti-codon, and T loops). Further hydrogen bonds mediate the characteristic L-shaped molecular structure. tRNAs have two regions of fundamental functional importance: the anti-codon, which is responsible for specific mRNA codon recognition, and the 3' end, to which the tRNAs corresponding amino acid is attached (by aminoacyl-tRNA synthetases). tRNAs cope with the degeneracy of the genetic code in two manners: having more than one tRNA (with a specific anti-codon) for a particular amino acid; and 'wobble' base-pairing, i.e. permitting non-standard base-pairing at the 3rd anti-codon position. Lineage: Eukaryota; Metazoa; Chordata; Mammalia; Rodentia; Sciuridae. The record is from RNAcentral.
GGGGUUGUGGCUCAGUGGUAGAGCACUUGCCUCACAUGGAUGAAGCACUGAGUUUGAUCCUCAGCACUACA